Long non-coding RNA from Piliocolobus tephrosceles (Ugandan red Colobus), 6868 nucleotides. RefSeq lists it as uncharacterized. The transcript is spliced from 3 exons. The record is from RefSeq and is a predicted model, not a curated record. NCBI's taxonomy places the organism in Eukaryota, Metazoa, Chordata, Mammalia, Primates, Cercopithecidae.
GGUCUUGAUCUCUUGAAGUCAUGAUCUGCCCACCUUGGCCUCCCAAAGUGCUGGGAUUACAGGCAUGAGCCACCAUGCCUGGCCCUUUUUGUAAUAUUUUAUUGGCUGGGUCACACCACAUGCUCAUUCCUAAACCAGGCACUGGGAAAGCAAAUGUGAUUAGCUUAGAAUAAUCAUUUCUCUUUUGAAGCUGGGGAGGGGUAUUGGGAUAAUAAAUAUCCAAAUAGAUUUGUGUUUCUCCAGCAAGCAACAUAAGGAACUGCUCUUGGAUAGGGAGCCAGCAGUGUUUGCUCUAGAAAUUCAUUGGAAAAUCAUGAGUAGGGGAGGCAUUAGAUUAGAUUUGAGAAUUAGGGCACUCUGUUCAGGGUAUAAAGCAGGGAUUGGCACGCUUUUUCUGUAAAGGGCCAAGUAGGAAAUAUUUUAGCCCAUGUGGUCUGUCUGUCUCUGUUUCUCUCUCUUACUCUCUCUUUUCAAGAAUGAUUUAAGCAGCUGAAGGCCAUGUGUUCUCUGUUGUAGCUACUCAACCCUGCCAUUGUAGUGUGAAAGCAGUCAUAUGUAGCAUGUCAGUGAGUAGGCCCGACUGUACUCUCAUAAAACUUUAUUAAGAUAAAACAUAUGGUAGGCAGGAUUUGGCCUGUGGUCUGUAGUGUGCUGACCCCUUAUGUGGAGGAUCAAUGGAGGAUAGAUGUCACCUGGGAGCGUAUAGUUAUUACUGACUAGGUAUUUAUUAUGUUCAUGAGAUGACAUCCACCUUUAAAUGUGUGGUGAUGAGCACAAGCUUCUGAAAAAUGGAUAGGAUUUAGGGGAAGCAUGCAGAGUGAGUGAAACUUUGCCAGGCAAGGAGGCAGAGGGAUGAUGUUUUGCAGAAGGAAUAUCUAACAAGCUUGCAUGUUUGACAGAAACAACAGCUACGAAGCCUGCAAAUUUGUAAAAAGGAGAAGAAGGUGCAAAAGCAGAACACGACUUAAAAGUGGCUUCAGAGGAAGACCAAGAAAUACUUGAAAGAAGUGAAAACAGCCACAGGAUUUUCAAAGUUAUGGAAAAAAGAAGGAUGUGAUAUAUACAAAUUGCAUGUUGAAGGGAGAUAUUGCCACACUCAGAUGGGAAUUAUAUGUAAUAAAAAAUGACAGUCUCAAAAAGGAAAAGGAAUAUAUUCAGGAAAUUAAAAGUAUUAGGGAAAUAAAUGCUAACUUUGAAAAGAGUGCGAGACUCAAUGAGAAAAUGAUAACAAAAACAAUGUCCCAGUGUUGGCAACAGCUUAAUGACCUCAAAGCUGUGAAUACAAGGCUGAAUUCAAAAUUGGAGAAGGAAAAACACCGCACAGACAGACUGGAAGCUGAAGUUGAAUUCCUCCAUUCUAGACUGGCUGCUGCUAUAAAUGAGCACAAUGAAAGUGUAGUAACGAAAGACCUAGAACUCGUUUUACAGAGAGCAUGUAAUUUUUCUGUACAUAAAAAAAUGAGUUCUACUAUUUCUCAACUAAAAGAUAAACAUGAGUUGCUUACUGAACAAUUUUCUAAAGCUGGGAUGAAGUUAAAUACCUUAAAAGGUAAGCUCCAUGAGACAAGAGAUGCUCUCAGGGAAAAGACACUGGCUUUAGAAAGUGUGCAGAUGGACCAGAGGCAAGCACAGCAUUGAAUAAAGGAAAUGGAGCAGGUGCAUCCAAAUGAGGAAGCUAAACUAGUCAAUCCACCAGAAAGCACAACUGUGUAGAGGAGAGACUGUGUCAACUAGAAUGUGAAAAUCUCUUGCUUAAACAACAACUAGAGGGUGCUCAUAAGGAAGGCAAUGAUAAAGAGAUAGUAAUUAAUAUCCAAGGAGGCUGUCUUGAGAGUGGAAAGAAAGAUCUUCUUCUAGAAGAGAAAAAUAAGAAAUUAAUGAAUGAAUAUAAUUCUACAAAAGAAAAGCUGUUUCAGUAUGUAAAAGAAGAAGCAGAGGAGAAGUAUGAAGAAAGAUAAAUAUUUUUAACCUUCCAGAAAGAAAAUUUAAACAUUUCAUUGUGGCUAUAUGUUGAAUCUAGUUCAAUAUAAAAAUAGAUAGAUGAAAAUGUAUUUACCAUACUGUAUAAUUCCAUUUUGUGAAACAUCCAGAAAAGACAUAUAUAGGGACAGAAAGAAGAUGAAUGUUUGUGUAGGGCUGGCGCUGGAAAUGGGUCGUGACUGCUGAUGGGCAUGAGGGAUUGUCCUGGAGUCAUGAAAAUGUUCUAAAGCUGGAUUAUAGGGAUGGUUGCACAACUAGUAAAUUUACUAAAAAUCUUUGAACUGUAUGUUAAAACAGAUAAAUAUGUAGUAUGGAAAUCAUAUUUUAACAAAGCUGUUUUAAUAAAAAAAAAAAUGUGUUUACUAUAUCAGCUUGGAAACAUACCUUGUUUUCAGGAAAUAAAAGGUAGAGCUGACAGAUGCUUUCUUUGAGUAAAGACAUUGUCACCUAUGAAAUUGUAGUAGCUACAGUGUAAUGUUCAUAAGCUAUGUAGUCUUAUAUUGCUGAAAUAACAAAUUUAAUGUCUUUAUGUUGCCACAUUUUAAGACCAUAAUGAGGCAGAUAAAUGGAAAUGCUUGUACCUGAAAUAAGUAUUUUGAAAUUAAGAUUCAAUUAAAUGAGCCACUUUGACACUUAAUUCUAGAUUUCCCAGAUGAACUGAAGUAUGUUGCUGUGUCUUGUGGUGCUUUUCCUUCAGUGGUUUUAUGUAUUUUAGUUAGUAUAACUUUAUUUUGACUCAUAUUAAUGUGACUUAAGUCUGAAAAUAUGUCAGUCUCACAUUAUGUAUUUUUCUGACCACUUAAUAUUUGAAAGACAUCUACUUGUUAUAAAAUCACAAUUUGGAAUAAAUGUGGUAAAUUUUAGCAAAAAAUAUUUAAUGUUCCCACUGGUAGGUAUUUAUAAUUUACUUUGAAUAUUUUUAUUAAUAAUUAGCUCAUAAUUUACAUUUUAAGUCUCAAUGACUAUCAUUUGGAUAUAACUUUGUCCAAUACAAAGAUACUUGUAGCUGUCUGUGAUUUGUGAGUUUGACAUUGAAUCCCCAUUUUCAGAGUAAUGAGGGAUGGCAGAGUUCACGUAGAGUGGGAAUGAAGUACAUUGGGAGUACAAGAGGCUGGUGCAGCCAUUACUAUGGAGACAGACACACUGUGGGCCCAGGCACUGCCGGCAGGGACCUCGGCACAGAGAGUUGAAUUGGUCGCCCUCACUCAGGCCCUCCGAUGGGGUAAGGACAAAUGUAUUAACAUCUACACUGACACCAGGUAUGCUUUUGCUGCUGUACAUGUACUUGGAGCCAUCUAUCAAGAGUGAGGGCUACUCACCUCAGCAGGAAAGAAGCAAUUGUGGCCCUGCUUGAAGCUGUUUGGCUCCCUCAGCAGGUGGCUGUGAUUCACUGCAAAGGACAUCAAAGAAGCCGUGGUAACCAAAGAGCAGAUGCUGCAGCUCGGCUCCUGGUCGUGCCUUUAACCCUGCUGCCCCCUGUGUCCUUUCUGCGACCUGACUUGCCAGACCACCCAGAAUACCCCCCAGAGGAAGAAAAACAAGCUUCAGAUCUUCAGGCCAGUAAAAAUCAGGAAGAAGGAGUAAAAUUGGCCCAGCUUCUAAGGAGCCAUUUCAAGAUCCCCCACCUUCAGGACUUAACGAACCAAGCAGCUCUCCGGUGUAUGGCUUGUGCUCAGGUAAACGCCAAGCAAGGUAAGCCCAGCCCAGGUCACUACCACCAGGGAGGCUCGCCAGGAGAAAGGUAGGAAAUUUACUUUACGUAGAUAAAACUGCACCAGGCAGGAUAUAAAUACCUCCUGGUGCUAGUAGACACCUUUUCCGGAUAGACUGAGGCAUUUGCCACCAAAAAUGAAACUGCCACCACGGUAGUUAAGCUGUUGCUCAAUGAAACCAUCCCUCGACAUGGACUGCCUGUUGCCAUAAGGUCUGAUAAUGGACCUGCCUUCACCUCGUCCACAGCUCAGUUGGUUAACAAGGCAUUAAACAUUCAAUGGAAACUCCAUUGUGCCUAUCGACCCCAGAGCUCUGGAGAGGUAGAACGCAUGAACCGCACCCUAAAAAGUACCCUUACUAAAUUAAUCCUAGAGACCGGUGAGAAUUAGGUAAAGCUCCUUCCUUUAGCCCUCCUUAGAGUAAGAUACACCCCUUACUGGGCUGGGUUUUCACCUUUUGAAAUCAUGUAUGGAAGGGCUCUGCCUAUCUUGCCUAAGCUAAGGGGUACCCAUUUAGCAGAAAUCUCACAAGCUAAUUUGUUACAGUACCUGCAGCCUCUCCAACAAGUACAAGACAUCAUCCAGCCACUUGUCCGGGGAGCUCAUCCCAAUCCAGUUCCUGACCAGAUGAGGCCCUGCCACUCUUUCCAGCCUGGUGACCUGGUAUAUGUUAAAAAGUUCCAGAAGGAAGGACUCACUCCUGCCUGGAAAGGACCUCAUACUAUCAUCCUCACUACGCCAAUGGCUCUGAAGGUGGACGACAUUCCUGCUUGGAUUCAUCACUCUUGCACCAAAAAGGCCAACAAAGCCCAGCAAGAAACAAGGGUCCCCAAGCCUGGGCCAGGCCCCUUAAAAUUGCACCUAAGUCGAGUGAAGCCAUCAGAUUAAUUAUUUCCAUUUACCUCUUCUGUCUGUUUCCACCUGUUAUGUCCUCUGCCCCUUCCUACUCUUUUCUCCUCACUUCCUUCACAACAGUACGUGUCUUUGCAAACACCACCUGGAAAGUGGGAACAUCCAAGAAAGUCUCUUUUGUAGUCGAUUUAUGUGCUUUGUUCCCAGAACCUGCCCGUACCCACAAAGAACAGCACGAUCUGCUGAUCAUGGGAUCAGGGAACGUCGACAUUGCUGCAGGGUUCAGACACACCAGAAGCUGGACUGGAUGUGGAAGCUCUAAGGGUGCAGAAAAGGGGUCCAGAGCGUUGACUUUCACCUUCGUCCUGGAAAUCACUCUGACUCUAGCUGCCGAGAUUCUUACCAGUGUUUCUGCCCUCACUGGACGUGUAUAACCUUGCCACUUACUCUGGAGGAUCAACCCUACCCUCAACCCUUUCCAUAGCUCGCGCUUCCCAUCCUAGACCGUGUACUAUAGGGAAUUGCAAUCCUCUUACUGUGACUGUCGGUAACCCUAGUUUAGCUCAAUGGUAUUACGGCAUGUCACAGGGAUUAAGGCUUUAUAUUUUGGGAUUUGAUACUGGAACUAUGUUCACCAUCCAGAAAAAGGUCCUGGUCCCAUAGAGCCCUCCUAAGCCAAUCAGACCUUUAACUGAUUUGGUGACCCUGUGUUCCAAAAACACCCAGACAGGUCAAUUUAACUGUCCCACCAUCAUUCCUGCUUCCUAGACCUCAGCUGCAACGACGACACCUCCAACCCAGCCUGAAGUCCAUUCUGGACAGUGCUCUUCACCUCCUUAAUCUCACCCAGCCUGAACUAGCCCGAGAUUGCUGGUUGUGCCUAAAGGCCAAACCCCCAUAUUACGUUGGAUUAGGAGUAGAAGCCAUGCUAAAAAUUCUUUCUUGUCAUACGUGCCCCCAUGCCCUUACACUAGGAGACGUGUCAGGAAUGCCUCCUGUCUAACUAGCAGGGUAUAAUUUAUCUGCUUCUCCCUCUCAGGCUACCUGGAAUCAGUCCCUGCUUACUUCCUUAAACACCUCAGUCUCCUAUCAGGCACCCAACAAUACCUGGUUAGCCUGCACUUCAGGUCUCACUGCAUCAGUGGGACUGAACCCUGACCUGUGUGUGUUGGUUAAUGUACUCCCCCAGGUCUACGUGUACAGCGGGUCAGAAGGACAACAACUCAUCGCUCCUCCUGAAUUGCAUCCCAGGUUUUGCCAAGUCGCCCCACUCCUGGUACCCCUUGUGGCCGGCCUUAGCAUAGCUGGGUCAGCAGCCGUCGGCACGACUGCCCUGAUUCAAGGAGAAACUGGGCUAUUGUCCCCAUCUCAACAAGUAGAUGAUGAUUUAAGCCAUCUCCAAUCAGCCAUAAAGAUACUGCAUGCCCAAGUAGAGUCUCUAGCGGAAGCAGUUCUUCAAAACCGCCGAGGCUUAGAUCUGCUAUUUCUCUCCCAAGGAGGGUUAUGUGCAGCUUUGGGAGAAAGUUGUUUCCACACCAAUCAGUCUGAAGUCAUAAAAAAUACUCUUCAAAAAGUUCGAGAAAAUCUAGGUAAAUGCCAGCAGGAACAGGAGAGUAACACCCCCUGGUACCAAAGCAUGUUUAACUGGAAUCCCUGGCUAACUAAUUACUGGGUUGGCGGGAGCCCUUCUCCUCUUGUUAAGGUUAGUCUUCCGGCCUUGUCUAUUAAACUGGUUGCUUUAUAAAGCAGCACAUAGCUUCUGUGAAACUUGUGUAUCUAAGAACCCAAUAUAACCCCCUUGUUAUAACCGAGGAAUCAAUGAUUUGAUUCCCCAAAAACACGAGUGGGAAAUGUGAUGCCCUACCUUGUUUUAACCUGAUUGACACUCUCAGCUGAAAGAGCCAGACAGACUCCAUUUUGGUUUCUCCGCUUGCAGCCCCUUGUCCCCCUCCCUUAAGGACAUAACUGGUACAACCUGACUCCAGGCACACCCAGGAGUGUGCUUACUGAUAAGAUACUGAGGCAAGCUGUGCCAGCGGCUCCUGGGAACACACUCGGUUGAUGGUACCCAAAGCCCCUGCAUUUGUCUCUUUAUGACAGUUUAAGCCCCUGAACCUGGAACUAUUUGUUUUCCUGUAACUGUUUCUGUAACCAUCUAUCUUUUAACUUUUUGCCUGUUCUGCUUCUGUAAAAAUUGCUUGAGACUCCCCCUCUCCUAUUUAGACCAAGAUAUAAAAAGAAAUCUAGCCCCUUCUUCAGGGCUGAAUUUUGAGCUCUAGCGGUCUCUCGGUCGCCAGCAAUAAAGGACUCCUGAAUUAGUCUCA